RNAcentral lists this ribosomal RNA (158 nucleotides) under Fusarium sp. KC-2010ba. RNAcentral describes it as "5.8S ribosomal RNA". It matches the Rfam family "5.8S ribosomal RNA". Rfam says of the family: 5.8S ribosomal RNA (5.8S rRNA) is a component of the large subunit of the eukaryotic ribosome. Lineage: Eukaryota; Fungi; Ascomycota; Sordariomycetes; Hypocreales; Nectriaceae. The record is from RNAcentral. RNAcentral also lists the same sequence under 6 other names.
UUUCAACAACGGAUCUCUUGGCUCUGGCAUCGAUGAAGAACGCAGCGAAAUGCGAUAAGUAAUGUGAAUUGCAGAAUUCAGUGAAUCAUCGAAUCUUUGAACGCACAUUGCGCCCGCCAGUAUUCUGGCGGGCAUGCCUGUUCGAGCGUCAUUACAAC